RNAcentral lists this ribosomal RNA (2922 nucleotides) under Klebsiella pneumoniae. RNAcentral's name for it is "23S ribosomal RNA". It matches the Rfam family "Bacterial large subunit ribosomal RNA". The record is from RNAcentral. Lineage: Bacteria; Pseudomonadati; Pseudomonadota; Gammaproteobacteria; Enterobacterales; Enterobacteriaceae.
GGGUUGUGAGGUUAAGCGACUAAGCGUACACGGUGGAUGCCCUGGCAGUCAGAGGCGAUGAAGGACGUGCUAAUCUGCGAAAAGCGUCGGUAAGGUGAUAUGAACCGUUAUAACCGGCGAUGUCCGAAUGGGGAAACCCAGUGCAAUUCGUUGCACUAUCGUUAACUGAAUACAUAGGUUAACGAGGCGAACCGGGGGAACUGAAACAUCUAAGUACCCGAGGAAAAGAAAUCAACCGAGAUUCCCCCAGUAGCGGCGAGCGAACGGGGAGCAGCCCAGAGUCUGAAUCAGCUUGUGUGUUAGUGGAACGGUCUGGAAAGUCCGACGGUACAGGGUGAUAGUCCCGUACACCAAAAUGCACAGGUUGUGAACUCGAAGAGUAGGGCGGGACACGUGGUAUCCUGUCUGAAUAUGGGGGGACCAUCCUCCAAGGCUAAAUACUCCUGACUGACCGAUAGUGAACCAGUACCGUGAGGGAAAGGCGAAAAGAACCCCGGCGAGGGGAGUGAAAAAGAACCUGAAACCGUGUACGUACAAGCAGUGGGAGCACCUUCGGGUGUGACUGCGUACCUUUUGUAUAAUGGGUCAGCGACUUAUAUUCUGUAGCAAGGUUAACCGUAUAGGGGAGCCGCAGGGAAACCGAGUCUUAACUGGGCGUUAAGUUGCAGGGUAUAGACCCGAAACCCGGUGAUCUAGCCAUGGGCAGGUUGAAGGUUGGGUAACACUAACUGGAGGACCGAACCGACUAAUGUUGAAAAAUUAGCGGAUGACUUGUGGCUGGGGGUGAAAGGCCAAUCAAACCGGGAGAUAGCUGGUUCUCCCCGAAAGCUAUUUAGGUAGCGCCUCGUGAAUUCAUCUUCGGGGGUAGAGCACUGUUUCGGCUAGGGGGUCAUCCCGACUUACCAACCCGAUGCAAACUACGAAUACCGAAGAAUGUUAUCACGGGAGACACACGGCGGGUGCUAACGUCCGUCGUGAAGAGGGAAACAACCCAGACCGCCAGCUAAGGUCCCAAAGUCAUGGUUAAGUGGGAAACGAUGUGGGAAGGCACAGACAGCCAGGAUGUUGGCUUAGAAGCAGCCAUCAUUUAAAGAAAGCGUAAUAGCUCACUGGUCGAGUCGGCCUGCGCGGAAGAUGUAACGGGGCUAAACCAUGCACCGAAGCUGCGGCAGCGACACUAUGUGUUGUUGGGUAGGGGAGCGUUCUGUAAGCCUGCGAAGGUGACCUGUGAGGGUUGCUGGAGGUAUCAGAAGUGCGAAUGCUGACAUAAGUAACGAUAAAGCGGGUGAAAAGCCCGCUCGCCGGAAGACCAAGGGUUCCUGUCCAACGUUAAUCGGGGCAGGGUGAGUCGACCCCUAAGGCGAGGCCGAAAGGCGUAGUCGAUGGGAAACAGGUUAAUAUUCCUGUACUUGGUGUUACUGCGAAGGGGGGACGGAGAAGGCUAUGUUAGCCGGGCGACGGUUGUCCCGGUUUAAGCAUGUAGGCUGGUUAUCCAGGCAAAUCCGGAUAAUCAAGGCUGAGGUGUGAUGACGAGGCACUACGGUGCUGAAGUAACAAAUGCCCUGCUUCCAGGAAAAGCCUCUAAGCAUCAGGUAACAUCAAAUCGUACCCCAAACCGACACAGGUGGUCAGGUAGAGAAUACCAAGGCGCUUGAGAGAACUCGGGUGAAGGAACUAGGCAAAAUGGUGCCGUAACUUCGGGAGAAGGCACGCUGGUGUGUAGGUGAAGCCCCUGCGGGUGGAGCUGAGACCAGUCGAAGAUACCAGCUGGCUGCAACUGUUUAUUAAAAACACAGCACUGUGCAAACACGAAAGUGGACGUAUACGGUGUGACGCCUGCCCGGUGCCGGAAGGUUAAUUGAUGGGGUUAUCCGUAAGGAGAAGCUCUUGAUCGAAGCCCCGGUAAACGGCGGCCGUAACUAUAACGGUCCUAAGGUAGCGAAAUUCCUUGUCGGGUAAGUUCCGACCUGCACGAAUGGCGUAAUGAUGGCCAGGCUGUCUCCACCCGAGACUCAGUGAAAUUGAACUCGCUGUGAAGAUGCAGUGUACCCGCGGCAAGACGGAAAGACCCCGUGAACCUUUACUAUAGCUUGACACUGAACAUUGAGCCUUGAUGUGUAGGAUAGGUGGGAGGCUUUGAAGCGUGGACGCCAGUCUGCGUGGAGCCAACCUUGAAAUACCACCCUUUAAUGUUUGAUGUUCUAACGUUGGCCCCUGACCGGGGUUGCGGACAGUGUCUGGUGGGUAGUUUGACUGGGGCGGUCUCCUCCCAAAGCGUAACGGAGGAGCACGAAGGUUAGCUAAUCCUGGUCGGACAUCAGGAGGUUAGUGCAAUGGCAUAAGCUAGCUUGACUGCGAGCGUGACGGCGCGAGCAGGUGCGAAAGCAGGUCAUAGUGAUCCGGUGGUUCUGAAUGGAAGGGCCAUCGCUCAACGGAUAAAAGGUACUCCGGGGAUAACAGGCUGAUACCGCCCAAGAGUUCAUAUCGACGGCGGUGUUUGGCACCUCGAUGUCGGCUCAUCACAUCCUGGGGCUGAAGUAGGUCCCAAGGGUAUGGCUGUUCGCCAUUUAAAGUGGUACGCGAGCUGGGUUUAGAACGUCGUGAGACAGUUCGGUCCCUAUCUGCCGUGGGCGCUGGAGAAUUGAGGGGGGCUGCUCCUAGUACGAGAGGACCGGAGUGGACGCAUCACUGGUGUUCGGGUUGUCAUGCCAAUGGCACUGCCCGGUAGCUAAAUGCGGAAGAGAUAAGUGCUGAAAGCAUCUAAGCACGAAACUUGCCCCGAGAUGAGUUCUCCCUGAGACUUUAAGUCUCCUGAAGGAACGUUAAAGACGAUGACGUUGAUAGGCCGGGUGUGUAAGCGCAGCGAUGCGUUGAGCUAACCGGUACUAAUGAACCGUGAGGCUUAACCUUACAACGCCGAAG